GAAGAUGUAACGGGGCUAAGCUAUACACCGAAGCUGCGGCUACGUACCUUAGGGUACGUGGGGUAGGGGAGCGUUCUGUAAGCCGUUGAAGGUGGUCUGUAAGGGCUGCUGGAGGUAUCAGAAGUGCGAAUGCUGACAUGAGUAACGAUAAAGGGAGUGAAAAACUCCCUCGCCGGAAGACCAAGGGUUCCUGUCCAACGUUAAUCGGGGCAGGGUAAGUCGACUCCUAAGGCGAGGCCGAAAGGCGUAGUCGAUGGGAAACGGGUUAAUAUUCCCGUACUUCUUACAAUUGCGAUGGGGGGACGGAGAAGGCUAGGUGGGCCUGGCGACGGUUGUCCAGGUUCAAGUA
Molecule: ribosomal RNA, 349 nt
Filed under: Vibrio toranzoniae
Lineage: Bacteria; Pseudomonadati; Pseudomonadota; Gammaproteobacteria; Vibrionales; Vibrionaceae
Description: Bacterial large subunit ribosomal RNA
Rfam family: Bacterial large subunit ribosomal RNA
Source: Rfam by way of RNAcentral